Molecule: ribosomal RNA, 253 nt
Filed under: uncultured bacterium
Lineage: Bacteria
Description: partial 16S ribosomal RNA
Rfam family: Bacterial small subunit ribosomal RNA
Source: RNAcentral
UACGGAGGGGGCUAGCGUUGUUCGGAAUUACUGGGCGUAAAGCGCACGUAGGCGGCCUUGUAAGUUAGAGGUGAAAGCCCAGGGCUCAACCCUGGAAUUGCCUUUAAGACUGCAUCGCUUGAACACGGGAGAGGUGAGUGGAAUUCCGAGUGUAGAGGUGAAAUUCGUAGAUAUUCGGAAGAACACCAGUGGCGAAGGCGGCUCACUGGACCGUUGUUGUCGCUGAGGUGCGAAAGCGUGGGGAGCAAACAGG